This is a non-coding RNA of Phalacrocorax carbo (great cormorant), 2653 nucleotides long. Lineage: Eukaryota; Metazoa; Chordata; Aves; Suliformes; Phalacrocoracidae. The record is from RefSeq and is a predicted model, not a curated record.
GAAUAUACUUCUUAGAAGAGAAAUGGGGGAUUUCUGUUGCUUUUUGAGGGCUGCUCCCUGUUUAGAUUUACUUUCCCCCAAUAUUAGCAAGCGCCUGCUCUCCUCGCCCACCGCUGAGCCACCUCCCGAGCUCCUCCCAGGAGCCAUCCACCCGCGGCGCCCCACGGUUACCUCCACCUCUGCCGGAGACGCAGAUAAACAGGCACAGGGAGGCGAGGAGCGGGGCCCCGCAAGCCCUGCAGCGCCGCGGGACAGCCACGAGCCCGUCACCCCCCUGGAUGCAGACACGGAGCCUCCCUGGGGGCACCAGGAGCCACUGCAUGGUCGGGCAACAACCCCCUCAUGCCUGGGGCCAUCUCUGGGAGCAGCUGAAGGCCACCCUGCAAACCCUGCCAGACCCAGGUGAAGAAGAUGCUGCAGGAGCUGAUGAAGGAGCAGAAGCAGGAAGGAAGAGUCUGGCGAUGCUGGAGGGCUGCAAAGGGCCCCAGAGGCAGAGCGGGCAGCGGGACUGGGACGGUGGCAGAAGAGAUGCCUCCUCGGGUCGGCAGCGCAGCGAUGGCGGGUGAUGGGGCAUCUUCUCAGGGCUGCCCAGGGGAAAUGACCCCAGGGCUUGGAGCAGGACCCAGCCUGGGCUUGCCAGCACUGGGGAGCCCCUCAGCAGGAUACCCCCCCCGCCCCCGGUUCGUGGGGGUCGUGGGGAGGCCGUCAGGACAGCCAGAGACAUCCCAGCCCCUACGAAACCCUGGGUGGAGGAGCUGGGCUGAGGCCUCCGGGCUGGGCGCAAGGAGGGCUGCAGCAGGCAGGGUGAUGGCCCCCCCCAAGCUGUCGGGGUCCUGGAGGAGACACCCCACGGCUGCCUGGAUGCUGAAGAACUCUCUGCCUUGCCACAGGCCUCCCUGCUUGGUGCGGAGGCUGCCAGACCUCUCCUGCCAUGGGCAGAGCUGGCCCCCCAGCCCCGGCCGUGGGGAGCCUGGGUGACUGCCCGGCUUGCGGGAGGUGUGUGGGGCCGGUGUCCCCCGUUGUCCCCCAGCAGAGAACGCCCUGUGAGUGCCAUGUCCGCCUCAGCACCAGCCUGGCCAAGCACCCAGGGACCACUGAGGGUUCCCAGCCCCAGGGCUCCUGCGUGGCUUGCGGACGGCACGGCAGCCGCUGGGGCUGCCUGGCCGAGAUGCCCACAGGCUCGCAAGCAGCCGGUGGCUGUGGUUUCCCCUCUGCCUGCUGGGAGCUGCCGGUACUGCCUGUGUGCCGAGCGCGGCAAAGGCUUCACGCAGCGCCCAGCCCUGAGCAGGCGCCGGCGCAUCACUCGAGCGAGCGGCCGCACCAGCGCGGGGACUGUGGCCGGCGGUUCCUGCAACGCUCCGACCUCACCGUGCACCAGCGCCGGCACACGGGCGAGCAGCCCUACGACGGCCCCGAGUGCAGGUGCCACUUCAGCGACAGCUCCAACCUGGCCAAGCAUCGCUGAGCCUGCCUGGGCCAACGUCCCUUCCCCUGCGCCAGCUGCGGCAAAGCCUUCAUCCAGCGCUCCGAGCUAGCCAUCCACCAGCGCCUGCACACCGGCCAGCGGCUCUUCUACUGCCCGCUCUGCACCAAGGGCUUCAGCCACCGCUCACACCUCACCCGCCACCAGCCACGGACCUCGGCACCCCUCCGUCCCCCACCCUGACUGGGGGCAUGGCCCGGAGCUGGGUGGCACGGCCCUGGACCUGUCGUGGUCCCCGUACCCCCCUGCCUCAGGUGGUCCCCCAGUCCUUGCAGCCGAGUGCCACCACUCUGCCCCGGGGGCUUUCUCUGCUUCUACCUGGUCAGGUAGAGCCCACCUAAGGUGGGACAAGGUUUGCUGCCCCUCUGGGGCUCAGCUUGGCCUCUCUCUUUUCCUUUCCCCCCAGCUCCGGCUACAAGACCCUCAGCUGCAGCUGACCCACUCUCUUUUCUAGCUCCUUGCAUCCUUUUUCUCUCCUUCCCCCUCCCUUUGCUGCUCCAUUUCUAUCCCAGAAUAGUCAUCUUGUGGCCACUGAUGCUCUUGACUAGGCAGAUGCAUCCCCCCCUUCUCUCUUUGUCACCACCGCUUUUUAGUUGGGCAGGACACCAGCGCUCAGCGCCGUCCCCCAGUGACCUGCCCCAGCCAGCCCUGGGGCAGCAGGAUGCCUGCCUGGGCCCAGUUCAACCAGUCUGGCUGCCAGUGUGGGGACCAGGUCAAGAGCAAAGCUCUGCCUGCCUUCUACCAGCAAGCUGCUUGCAGGAAAUAUGUGGUGCUGUGGGGGGGUUCCCAUCCCCACCCAUGCGUGCUGGGUGCCAGACAGGGGCCGGACCAUGGAGCACCCCUGCAUCUUGCCGUCAGAGCUCAUGUUUUUUGAGCUCAUAUUUUUUGGGGGAUGUGCUGUGAUGGGGAAGGUGAUGCCUACGCCAUCCCACAGGUAGGGAUGCAAAGGAGACUUUUUUAUCUUCUGGCAUUCAAUUAGAAGUAAUAAAGUAGAAGUUUUGCAGCUCUUCAGCUGAAGUCACAAGUGAAAAUGGGCACCCCAAGGGGGAUGGGGUCUUCCUGCAGCUCCCAGCCCCACUCGGAUGUGGGGGACCCCAUGGCUGAUUACAGGGUGGCCUAAAAAUCCUGCAGCCCUCAGUGACGGGGGGCUGCAUCCAUGGGAGAUCAAAC